This 478-nucleotide ribosomal RNA is filed under the name uncultured bacterium. Its description in RNAcentral is "partial 16S ribosomal RNA". It matches the Rfam family "Bacterial small subunit ribosomal RNA", at positions 28 to 507 of the family's 1533-position model. The record is from RNAcentral.
GAUGAACGCUGGCGGCGUGCUUAACACAUGCAAGUCGAACGAGAAAUGGAGACGGAAACCUUCGGGCGGAAGGCUUCAUUUCGAGUGGCGGACGGGUGAGUAACGCGUGGGUAACCUGCCUCAUACAGGGGGAUAACAGUUGGAAACGACUGUUAAUACCGCAUAAGACCACAGCACCGCAUGGUGCGGGGGUAAAAACUCCGGUGGUAUGAGAUGGACCCGCGUUGGAUUAGCCAGUUGGCGGGGUAACGGCCCACCAAAGCGACGAUCGAUAGCCGAUCUGAGAGGAUGACCGGCCACAUUGGGACUGAGACACGGCCCAAAAUCCUACGGGAGGCAGCAGUGGGGAAUAUAGCACAAUGGGGGAAGCCCUGAUGCAGCGACGCCGGGUAAGUGAAGAAGUGCGUCGGUAUGUAAAGCUCUAUCAGCAGGGAAGAAAAUGACGGUACCUGAGUAAGAAGCCCCGGCUAACUACGUG